RNAcentral lists this ribosomal RNA (301 nucleotides) under uncultured bacterium. RNAcentral describes it as "partial 16S ribosomal RNA". It matches the Rfam family "Bacterial small subunit ribosomal RNA", at positions 509 to 807 of the family's 1533-position model. The record is from RNAcentral.
CAGUCGCCACGGUAAUACGAAGGGGGCUAGCGUUGUUCGGAUUUACUGGGCGUAAAGCGCACGUAGGCGGAUCGAUCAGUCAGGGGUGAAAUCCCAGAGCUCAACUCUGGAACUGCCUUUGAUACUGUCGAUCUGGAGUGUGGAAGAGGUGAGUGGAAUUCCGAGUGUAGAGGUGAAAUUCGUAGAUAUUCGGAGGAACACCAGUGGCGAAGGCGGCUCACUGGUCCAUUACUGACGCUGAGGUGCGAAAGCGUGGGGAGCAAACAGGAUUAGAUACCCCCGUAGUCCCUGUCUCUUAUAC